Molecule: unclassified non-coding RNA, 320 nt
Filed under: plant metagenome
Description: partial contains 5.8S ribosomal RNA, internal transcribed spacer 2, and large subunit ribosomal RNA
Rfam family: 5.8S ribosomal RNA (bases 1-105)
Source: RNAcentral
GAAAUGCGAUAAGUAAUGUGAAUUACAGAAUUCAGUGAAUCAUCGAAUCUUUGAACGCACAUUGCGCCUAUUAGUAUUCUAGUAGGCAUGCCUGUUCGAGCGUCAUUUCAACCCUCAAGCCCUGGUUGCUUGGUGUUGGGAGCUUGCUGUGAAACGCAACUCCCCAAAGCUAGCUGGCAGAGUCGGGAUGCACUCUAAGCGUAGUAAACUUGAUAGUCUCGCUUCUGCAGUUGUCCCGGCCGUCUUGCCAUAAAAGCCCAAACUUUUUUGUUUUCUAUGGUUGACCUCGGAUCAGGUAGGAAUACCCGCUGAACUUAAGC